GAUGAAGAACGUAGCGAAAUGCGAUAAGUAAUGCGAAUUGCAGAAUCCGUGAGUCAUCGAAUCUUUGAACGCACAUUGCGCCCUUUGGUAUUCCGAAGGGCAUGCCUGUUCGAGCGUCAUUAUCACCCCUCAAGCUCCGGCUUGGUGUUGGGCUCUCGGUGGUCGUCUCCGACCACCCGUCUCAAAGAUAGUGACGGCGUCCCAGAGGGAACCGGUACGAGGAGCUUUCACGAGCAUGUACGCGGGACGACUCUGCGGGCGACGGUCUUAUUUACUUUAUAUACAAGUGUUGACCUCGGAUCAGGUAGGAAUACCCGCUGAACUUAAGCAUAUCAAUAAGCGGAGGA
Molecule: unclassified non-coding RNA, 347 nt
Filed under: soil metagenome
Description: partial contains 5.8S ribosomal RNA, internal transcribed spacer 2, and large subunit ribosomal RNA
Rfam family: 5.8S ribosomal RNA (bases 1-119)
Source: RNAcentral